This 18-nucleotide ribosomal RNA is filed under the name Leishmania guyanensis. RNAcentral's name for it is "SSU ribosomal RNA". Lineage: Eukaryota; Euglenozoa; Kinetoplastea; Trypanosomatida; Trypanosomatidae. The record is from RNAcentral.
CACAAACACACACGCACA